This 469-nucleotide ribosomal RNA is filed under the name uncultured organism. RNAcentral describes it as "partial 16S ribosomal RNA". It matches the Rfam family "Bacterial small subunit ribosomal RNA", at positions 335 to 796 of the family's 1533-position model. The record is from RNAcentral.
ACUCCUACGGGAGGCAGCAGUGGGGAAUUUUGGACAAUGGGCGAAAGCCUGAUCCAGCAAUGCCGCGUGUGUGAAGAAGGCCUUCGGGUUGUAAAGCACUUUUGUCCGGAAAGAAAUCCUUGGCUCUAAUACAGUCGGGGGAUGACGGUACCGGAAGAAUAAGCACCGGCUAACUACGUGCCAGCAGCCGCGGUAAUACGUAGGGUGCGAGCGUUAAUCGGAAUUACUGGGCGUAAAGCGUGCGCAGGCGGUUUGCUAAGACCGAUGUGAAAUCCCCGGGCUCAACCUGGGAACUGCAUUGGUGACUGGCAGGCUAGAGUAUGGCAGAGGGGGGUAGAAUUCCACGUGUAGCAGUGAAAUGCGUAGAGAUGUGGAGGAAUACCGAUGGCGAAGGCAGCCCCCUGGGCCAAUACUGACGCUCAUGCACGAAAGCGUGGGGAGCAAACAGGAUUAGAAACCCUAGUAGUCC